This 332-nucleotide unclassified non-coding RNA is filed under the name Hevea brasiliensis (rubber tree). The record is from RNAcentral. Lineage: Eukaryota; Viridiplantae; Streptophyta; Magnoliopsida; Malpighiales; Euphorbiaceae.
ACGGGGUGCGCAGCCAGAGCCACUCCUGGCCACUCCAUGUCGAAGCCAAAUGGUCAAUUGCCCAAGAGUUACAGCAUGGGAUCAUCAAUAUCCAACGACAAUGACGAUUACAUGGAGCUUAUAAGGGCUGCCUCCGUCAGAAGCCUUGGUCACAAGAAUGAAAUCGACAUGUUAUUGCAGCAAAUGAAGCAGGAAUCAAUGUCAUCGAAACAGUUGCCCAAGAGUUGCAGCGUUGGGAUGGGAUUCAUGGGUAGGAUUGAUGAAGAGAAGCCGUCUGAUGAAGAAGUCAGUGGCCAUGGUGCGAAUAAGAAAGCAGCAAAGGCAGAGUUGUA